CAACAUCAUGGAUUAAGGUUACACAACCAACGUCUUGGAAAAAAAUCACUCUACCAACAUCAUGGUUAAAGGUAACUCUACCCACAGUAGCACCAACAACUGCCUCACCUUUUAUUAAAGUUGCACAUACAGUCGCAACUACUGAUCCUUGUAAACCCGACCCAUGUAAACACUCGGGAUGGUGCAUAAAUAAUGGAUCUGACUACUCUUGCCAAUGUUUAUCAAGAUAUACUGGUAAAAAUUGUGAACUUCUAG
Long non-coding RNA from Mytilus trossulus (common blue mussel), 255 nucleotides. RefSeq lists it as uncharacterized. NCBI's taxonomy places the organism in Eukaryota, Metazoa, Mollusca, Bivalvia, Mytilida, Mytilidae. The record is from RefSeq and is a predicted model, not a curated record. The transcript has 7 exons.